This 62-nucleotide transfer RNA is filed under the name Cistopus taiwanicus. Its description in RNAcentral is "tRNA-Cys". It matches the Rfam family "tRNA". From Rfam's summary of the family: Transfer RNA (tRNA) molecules are approximately 80 nucleotides in length. Their secondary structure includes four short double-helical elements and three loops (D, anti-codon, and T loops). Lineage: Eukaryota; Metazoa; Mollusca; Cephalopoda; Octopoda; Octopodidae. The record is from RNAcentral.
GGUUUUAUAGUUUAUUAAAAUAUUAAAUUGCAAAUUUAAAGAUACAUGUAGUGUUAAAACUU